UGGGGAAUAUUGGACAAUGGGCGAAAGCCUGAUCCAGCAACGCCGCGUGGAGGACGAAGGCCUUCGGGUCGUAAACUCCUGUCAGUAGGGACGAAAAGGUCGAGUGGAAACGCUCGGCCGUUGACGGUACCUGCAGAGGAAGCCCCGGCUAACUCCGUGCCAGCAGCCGCGGUAAUACGGAGGGGGCGAGCGUUAUUCGGAAUUACUGGGCGUAAAGGGCGCGCAGGCGGCCUGGUAGGUCAAAGGUGAAAUCCCUCGGCUCAACCGAGGAACUGCCUUUGAAACCACCAGGCUCGAGGCCGGGAGGGGGUAGCGGAAUUCCUGGUGUAGCGGUGAAAUGCGUAGAUAUCAGGAGGAACACCGGUGGCGAAGGCGGCUACCUGGACCGGUUCUGACGCUGAGGCGCGAAAGCGUGGGGAGCAAACAGGAUUAGAUACCCCCGUAGUCC
Molecule: ribosomal RNA, 448 nt
Filed under: uncultured prokaryote
Description: bacterial SSU rRNA
Rfam family: Bacterial small subunit ribosomal RNA
Source: RNAcentral